Molecule: long non-coding RNA, 604 nt
Filed under: Carica papaya (papaya)
Lineage: Eukaryota; Viridiplantae; Streptophyta; Magnoliopsida; Brassicales; Caricaceae
Description: long non-coding RNA (CPAP_LNC011640)
Source: RNAcentral
UGUCAUUAACAUACAUUAAUUGUCCAUCAAUAAAAUUUAUCCAAACAGAACCUAAGGGGUUAGGAUUACCUCAAAGUGUGACGGGUUAAGCUUCCUAAACUCCGUUAUAUUGUGAGAAAUAGACAUUUCGUUUGUUCGAUAUUCUGGGACCUGGUGCUGAUAAAGGUUUAUUUGGUUCUGUCCUACGACUGCGGUCAAUCCUUAGAUAGUUCGAAAAAGUUCAAUAAACUCGGCCCUAGUUGGAUGAUCUUGGGCCUCUGAUCUUUCACUACGUUCUAUGAAAGGUCUCUGUCGCAUCAUUCCUAUAAAAGAAAGGAAGAGAUGAGUUAGUGAUCUAGUUUAGAAAAGACAACUUAUUUUCUUAAAUAAGGGACUUUCUACUUACAGUCUUAGUUGUAAGGGAUUUGGUCUGCAUAACUGCUCUGAUACCAUUUAUGACAUCCUCAAUGCAAAUUAACGCAUAAGGGUGCUAGAUACAAAAAUAGAUUGCGAGUGCAUGAUAAAAUUUUAUACAAUGAAGUAAAUUAUUACAAAUCCCUUACUAAAAUAUAUGAGUUUCAAUUACACAUAUAUAUAACUAAGGCCAGAAGUGAUAACAAAAUAC